CCUGCGGAGGGAUCAUUACCGAGUUUACAACUCCCAAACCCCUGUGAACAUACCACUUGUUGCCUCGGCGGAUCAGCCCGCUCCCGGUAAAACGGGACGGCCCGCCAGAGGACCCCUAAACUCUGUUUCUAUAUGUAACUUCUGAGUAAAACCAUAAAUAAAUCAAAACUUUCAACAACGGAUCUCUUGGUUCUGGCAUCGAUGAAGAACGCAGCAAAAUGCGAUAAGUAAUGUGAAUUGCAGAAUUCAGUGAAUCAUCGAAUCUUUGAACGCACAUUGCGCCCGCCAGUAUUCUGGCGGGCAUGCCUGUUCGAGCGUCAUUUCAACCCUCAAGCACAGCUUGGUGUUGGGACUCGCGUUAAUUCGCGUUCCCCAAAUUGAUUGGCGGUCACGUCGAGCUUCCAUAGCGUAGUAGUAAAACCCUCGUUACUGGUAAUCGUCGCGGCCACGCCGUUAAACCCCAACUUCUGAAUGU
This 475-nucleotide small RNA is filed under the name Fusarium oxysporum. Its description in RNAcentral is "eukaryotic LSU rRNA". The stretch from base 167 to 320 matches the Rfam family "5.8S ribosomal RNA". Lineage: Eukaryota; Fungi; Ascomycota; Sordariomycetes; Hypocreales; Nectriaceae. The record is from RNAcentral.